RNAcentral lists this ribosomal RNA (549 nucleotides) under uncultured Glomus. Its description in RNAcentral is "SSU rRNA". It matches the Rfam family "Eukaryotic small subunit ribosomal RNA", at positions 548 to 1098 of the family's 1831-position model. The record is from RNAcentral. Lineage: Eukaryota; Fungi; Glomeromycota; Glomeromycetes; Glomerales; Glomeraceae.
UUGGAGGGCAAGUCUGGUGCCAGCAGCCGCGGUAAUUCCAGCUCCAAUAGCGUAUAUUAAAGUUGUUGCAGUUAAAAAGCUCGUAGUUGAAUUUCGGGAUCAGUACGCCGGUCGUGCCUUCGGUAUGCACUGGUGUCGCUGGUUUCUCCCUUCUGAAGAACCAUCAUGCCAUUAAGUUGGUGUGGCGGGGAAUCAGGACUGUUACUUUGAAAAAAUUAGAGUGUUUAAAGCAGGCUCGCGCUUGAAUACAUUAGCAUGGAAUAAUGAAAUAGGACGUUUGACCCUAUUUUGUUGGUUUCUAGGAUCGACGUAAUGAUUAAUAGGGAUAGUUGGGGGCAUUAGUAUUCAAUUGUCAGAGGUGAAAUUCUUGGAUUUAUUGAAGACUAACUACUGCGAAAGCAUUUGCCAAGGAUGUUUUCAUUAAUCAAGAACGAAAGUUAGGGGAUCGAAGACGAUCAGAUACCGUCGUAGUCUUAACCAUAAACUAUGCCGACUAGGGAUCGGAUGAUGUUAAUUUUUUAAUGACUCAUUCGGCACCUUACGGGAAAC